AUUGAACGCUGGCGGCAGGCCUAACACAUGCAAGUCGAGCGAGCGGCGGACGGGUGAGUAAUGUAUGGGUAUCUGCCCGAUAGAGGGGGAUAACUACUGGAAACGGUGGAUAAUACCGCAUACUAUCGGAUGAACCCAUAGGGGAGUAGCUAGUAUGUGGGGGAAAUGCCCACCUAGGCGACGAUCUCUAGCUGGUAUGAGAGGAUGAUCAGCCAGACUGGAACUGAGAACCGGCCCAGACUCCUACGGGAGGGAGCAGUGGGUAAGAUUGCACAAUGGGCGAAAGCCUGAUGCAGCCAUGCCGCGUGUAUGAAGAAGGCCUUAGGGUUGUAAAGUACUUUCAGCGGGGAGGCGUUACUCGCAGAAGAAGCACCGGCUAACUCCGUGCCAGCCGCCGCGGUAAUUC
RNAcentral lists this ribosomal RNA (406 nucleotides) under uncultured bacterium. Its description in RNAcentral is "partial 16S ribosomal RNA". It matches the Rfam family "Bacterial small subunit ribosomal RNA", at positions 30 to 526 of the family's 1533-position model. The record is from RNAcentral.